Molecule: transfer RNA, 62 nt
Filed under: Lasioglossum laevigatum
Lineage: Eukaryota; Metazoa; Arthropoda; Insecta; Hymenoptera; Halictidae
Description: tRNA-His
Source: RNAcentral
AUUUAGAUAGUUUAACAAAAAUAUUGAAUUGUGAUUUCAAAGAUGUUUAUUAACUCUAAAUU